UGUGUUUGCGAUUGACUAUUCUUAUAUCUCUAUCUUUACUUUAGCACAUACACUUGUGUGUUUUAUUUUUAAUUAGACAAAAAAUCUUAAAACACCCAAUUCACCUCCCUCUUGGGUGACCAUCUCUGGGCAACAUGAUUGCAUGACAUGAAGGCUUAUAUAAUUCCAAAUGAAAGGGGGAGCUUUAACUUCAAAAUUUACUGUUUCACACCUUUCAGUUUUGGAUAAAUUAAAAUAACUAGACAUUUGAAUUCAUUUUAAAAUUUUACUAUAAAUCUUCUUGUUUGUUGAGCAAUUCACUUUACAUAUACUCAAUGUUUUGUCAUCAUCAAAAAGGGGGAGAUUGUGGAGUG
Molecule: long non-coding RNA, 353 nt
Filed under: Phoenix dactylifera (date palm)
Lineage: Eukaryota; Viridiplantae; Streptophyta; Magnoliopsida; Arecales; Arecaceae
Description: long non-coding RNA (PDAC_LNC014347)
Source: RNAcentral